RNAcentral lists this small RNA (547 nucleotides) under Histoplasma capsulatum. RNAcentral describes it as "hypothetical RNA". Lineage: Eukaryota; Fungi; Ascomycota; Eurotiomycetes; Onygenales; Ajellomycetaceae. The record is from RNAcentral. RNAcentral also lists the same sequence under 1 other name.
ACCUAUUCAAGACUUCACUGCAAACAAUUGAAUCAAUCACCACUUCCAUUCAUGAGGCCAGCAACUGUACAAGACUUUUCCCUGUCUGAAAUGAACUCCCUGAGCCAGUGCAUGACAUAGGGCAGGUUUCAACAACAGAUAUCAAAUUGUUGGCAAGUUGAGGUAUUGCUGUUACUUCUACAGUGUGGCUCGCUUGUGACUUAAUGUAAGAACCUCUUAUAUUUAACUUAUUUUGUUGGAUGAGCUCUAACAGCAUACACUUGAGGCAAUGAGGUUGCUAUGUACAAAUGCACAAACACUAUUGCUGCAAAUACAAACACUCUGGACAUGAGCAUAUUCAGAAAUUCUUUUCAUUCUUUGAGAUGCAAGUGCCCCAUGUGGAACACACAUGCGUUGUGCUGCAGGUCCUGGGAAUUACCAUGGACCACCUCUUUCAUAUUUAAAACAUAAUUCUCUGACCAUUGAGAAUGUGAACCCGUUUCUUCGGCAGCUACUUUUUGCUUUGGACUUUCUUCACACGCAGGCGGGGAUAAUACAUACAGGAGGA